RNAcentral lists this long non-coding RNA (350 nucleotides) under Canis lupus familiaris (dog). RNAcentral's name for it is "lncRNA (ENSCAFG00000046376.2, ENSCAFG00845024991.1)". The record is from RNAcentral. Lineage: Eukaryota; Metazoa; Chordata; Mammalia; Carnivora; Canidae.
GGAAACUGUAUAUUCAGUUGAUCUGAGAGAACAACUAGGGCAAUAUUAAUCAGAGGAACUUUGAGUAUGAUCCCUUCUUCUAUUUAAGUGCCCAGUGUGACUUCACAAUCUGUAGUUAAAGCCACAGUCACAGCAAGGGGACAUAAGGCUCUUGUUUUAUAAAGGAAAACACUUUAAAAAGGAAAUGAAUGGACAAUAAUACAUGUCCUUUGCUGGCUGGAAUGAUGGAUGGGCUCCAAGAAGAAAUAACCAAUGUCCACAAUAGGCUGGUGAUAAUAAUCAAGUGUGUUCAGCAUAAACUGACCAUGAUCAAAAGAAGUGUCCCAAAAAUCAGUCAUCGUAAACACAGC